This is an RNA transcript of Thrips palmi, 722 nucleotides long. It is a transcript of the gene named very low-density lipoprotein receptor-like, with no coding region annotated. Lineage: Eukaryota; Metazoa; Arthropoda; Insecta; Thysanoptera; Thripidae. The transcript is spliced from 5 exons. The record is from RefSeq and is a predicted model, not a curated record.
CUCGCGCCUUCUCAGGAGAUGGCGACCAAGCUCCUCAUCCUGCUCGGCCUUCUGGCCGUCGUGUCGCUAGCGGCCGGCGAGAGCGUGCCGGAGCAGUUCUUCUACUGCAAGGAGGGCAGGAGUCCUGUUCCAGGAGUCUAUAGGUGCGACGGUAACAGGGACUGCCGUGACGGCUCCGACGAGGAAGGCUGCGACGCACUGUUGGCAGCUCACGAGGUGGCCCUGCCGCUCAACGCCUCGGCCACGGCCCGCGUGCAGUACGCGAAGGUCCACAACGACAUCGAGGUGCACCUGUGCGGCGACAAGAACUGCAGCGUCGUGAUACUGUGAGGCGAGAGUGCCAACGGCUCGCUGAGAUACGAUACGUUCACGGGCUGCACCCGCUUCGGCAGGCUCGGCAACACCGUCAAGGAAAACAGGGGAAGCGGCCCUGACUUCGCCCCCGGCGAGGUGGUGCUGGAGGUGCAGCACCGGCCCGGGCAGCUCGCCGUGUGGCGGCAGGGCCGGCCGGACGACGUGGUGGAGGUCCCCGUGGAGGCGGACUACGGCACGCUCAGGGUCAGGCCUUUCUACUGGGUCGCCGACAUGCCCGUGCAGUUUACUAGUGGUGCGACGACGGCUAUGUCCAACUCAUGACCCAAUGACGUCCGCCCGGCAGCACCGCGUCCCGACAUCAGUAGUCUCUCUCCAAGAGGUGCACUCUGAUUCCGUGGCUGCAGGAC